This 273-nucleotide ribosomal RNA is filed under the name uncultured bacterium. Its description in RNAcentral is "partial 16S ribosomal RNA". It matches the Rfam family "Bacterial small subunit ribosomal RNA", at positions 524 to 796 of the family's 1533-position model. The record is from RNAcentral.
UACAGAGGUCUCAAGCGUUGUUCGGAUUCAUUGGGCGUAAAGGGUGCGUAGGUGGCGAGGCAAGUCGGAUGUGAAAUCCCGGGGCUCAACCCCGGAACUGCAUUCGAUACUGCCCUGCUCGAGUACUGGAGAGGAGAUCGGAAUUUACGGUGUAGCAGUGAAAUGCGUAGAUAUCGUAAGGAAGACCAGUGGCGAAGGCGGAUCUCUGGACAGUUACUGACACUGAGGCACGAAGGCCAGGGGAGCAAACGGGAUUAGAAACCCCCGUAGUCC